RNAcentral lists this ribosomal RNA (236 nucleotides) under uncultured bacterium. RNAcentral's name for it is "partial 16S ribosomal RNA". It matches the Rfam family "Bacterial small subunit ribosomal RNA", at positions 541 to 776 of the family's 1533-position model. The record is from RNAcentral.
UUAUUCGGAAUCACUGGGCUUAAAGCGCGUGUAGGCGGCCAGAUAAGUCCGCUGUGAAAUCUCGAGGCUCAACUUCGAGCUGUCGGUGGAAACUGUCUGGCUAGAGUCCGGAAGAGGAGAAUGGAAUUCCUGGUGUAGCGGUGAAAUGCGCAGAUAUCAGGAAGAACACCCGUGGCGAAGGCGGUUCUCUGGGACGGUACUGACGCUGAGACGCGAAAGCGUGGGGAGCGAACAGG